Corvus hawaiiensis (hawaiian crow) is the source of this 2393-nucleotide long non-coding RNA. RefSeq lists it as uncharacterized. NCBI's taxonomy places the organism in Eukaryota, Metazoa, Chordata, Aves, Passeriformes, Corvidae. The record is from RefSeq and is a predicted model, not a curated record. The transcript is spliced from 3 exons.
GCUGGAAGCUGUCGGCAUGCUGUCCAUUGAUGCGGAUCUCCUUGUCAGUCCUUUUUGGACUCUUUGAGUCAGCUGCAGCCGGGAGCUCAGCUGACAAGAAGACGACCAGCUCAAAGUGGUGAGGAGCUUCUCUCUGCAGGAGAGCAGCCAGCGGGCUGGAUGCAGUCAUGGAAUGGUAGUAGGUCAGUGGGAAGAUGAAAAAAGGACACUGGUCUGCAGUGAUGCUGUCCAGGUGGAAGUCAAUGCUAGUUUGGUGCAGCUGCCCACUCUCUUGUUCUUGGUAAAGUAUAGCAGAGAUCUGGACGCUGGUCAGGGGGCUGGAGCGAGUGUUGGCCACCUGGAACAUGAGGUGUGGCUUCCCCUCUGUGUGUGUGACCACGGCGGAGCGUGAGAAGCGGAUGGAGAGUGCCCGGUUCUUCGGGCGCGCGAUCUUGGCCACGAAAGCACCUGGAGCACGGGAAGGAGCAAAGUCAGUGUGAGCACAGAGCCUGGGCUGGUUCCCUGCAGGCUCCAAAGGAGCAGAAGCAGGCUGAGACUGGAAAGACCAUGUUUGAAAAUUGCUAGAUUGGCAUCAUGCUAACUUGCUUUUGUUCAAAAAAGUACAGCUUUCCUAAAAUGUUUAUUUUUCUUAAUUAUGUUCACUUACUAAUGUUUGGAAGUUAACUGUAGCUGUAAGGAGGCUGUUAGCUUGCCCCAACUUAGUGCAAUUGGUAAUAGGAGCUGAUCUUGGUGUGUUACACUGUAGAAGCUCUUUCUAAUACACAGUAAACUACCCUGUGUAUUUUCAAACUGUUUUGAAGUACUUUAAACAUGAAGAAUAUUUUAAAUAACUUAAAAUACCUCAAAAUAGCUGUGACAUUGUAAAAAUUUUCAUUACCUUGGGUACUGAGGAAUACGUAAACACUGAGGUAAAGAUCAGUGAAGAUAGCUCAGCUAGACAAAAGUAUACCUUAAAAGUCAAAACAAAUUGACUUUAAAUAUUGUAAUUAUAUGGUAAAAGCUUGGAGAGAUAAUGGUAUAAGAAAUAAAUGAUUGAGAGGGAUGUGCAGUGAUCAGCCGCAAGUAUUUUCCGAUGAAUAGUGAAAUUCGUAAGUCCAGAUAUUGAUAACAUCUAAUUUGUCUCUCUUGAUGAAAGGUGUUUAACUUUUAGUACUACAUAGCUGAAGUCUUGUCAUCCUUGUAGUGGCUACCUUAAUUAUUCUUUCAUAUAUCAAAAUGAACAGUAUUUAUUUCUAGCUCCAUUCUUAAAUCCAAUUGUCACACCAGUUGUAUGUAAAGAUGCAGUAGGAAGGGAUUACCUGUGAUGAAGGCUUCUAGCAUGAGCCCCAGGACCAUCUGGAUUGCCAGCAGUGCAAUAGCACUGGGACAGUCCCCACUUGGGAACAUGGUACCGUAGCCAAUCGUGAGUUGUGUCUCCAGUGAGAAGGAGAAGGCAGCUGUAAAACUGGUGAUGUACUUGACACAUAUAGUGUGGUUGUCAGGUGGAGCGUUGUGGUCCAGCUCCAGGUCCCCAUUCAUCUCAGCCAGCAGAUACCAGAGCACUGCAAAGACCAGCCAGUGAAUGACAAAGGAAGCCGAGAAGACGAGCAUCAUCCAUCUCCAGCGCAUGUCCAUGAGUAUCCCCCACGCAUCUCGGAGGUACGCCACACCUCUGCCUUGGGCACCGGCCAUCUGGAACGUGCUGUGUCCGUCCUUGGUCACCAGCCUCAGGGGAAUGCUGUACUUUAGCUACUAGCCUUUUCUGACUCUCCUAGCUCAAGAAUUGUCUGCUGUCUUCACCCACCAUGUCCAGUUAAACAGAAUUACAGUACUCAGGGCAGAGCUGCUUCUGGGAGUCUGCGGCUGUUUAUGUAAGGAUCAGGUAAAAAGAGGGCAGGAGACCAAUAUGGAAAAAAUACACUGUGACAUAAUUUCCAGUCUAGUCUGCCUGAGCAGUGCAAUUUUUAUUAGUGACCAAAUAAAAUAGGACAGCAAGUAUAUGGGAAUUAAGGUGGAAUUGCAGAUAUGGGAAGCAAAAUGGGUACCUGUAAGUAUUUGACAUAUUAGGCUCCUUUGUUUGCUUUUAAACCUCAAAGCUUGUGGAAUUUGCUAGAGCUGCUGAAUGUCUUUUGAAAAGAUACUGGUCACUCAAAUCCAUACACUUUAUAAAUACUGCAUGUUUAAAGUUCACCUGGGACAGAUUAAAAUUAAGUACAGGUUUGUGUAAAAUAGAGACUUCAUAAUGUGUACAACCUGUUUAAAACAGUUUGUGAGGAAGCUUGUUUGUAGAACAACAGAGGAUUUAAAAAUACAUGUAAGUUCUGCAAAUGAUAAUUACACAUGAUGUAUUUAGUCACUUUUGUUUUCCUAUCAAUUUUGACCUUUCUUUGAAUGAUGACCAUUUCAGUCUAUUA